Molecule: small nuclear RNA, 104 nt
Organism: Panthera leo (lion)
Lineage: Eukaryota; Metazoa; Chordata; Mammalia; Carnivora; Felidae
Source: Ensembl
CUGCUCACUCUGGCAGCACAUAUACUAAAACUGGAACAAUACGGAGGCUGGCAUGGCCCCUGUGCAAGGAUGACAGGAAAAUUCAUGAAACAUUCCAUAUAUUU